Dreissena polymorpha is the source of this 517-nucleotide long non-coding RNA. RefSeq lists it as uncharacterized. The transcript is spliced from 3 exons. The record is from RefSeq and is a predicted model, not a curated record. Lineage: Eukaryota; Metazoa; Mollusca; Bivalvia; Myida; Dreissenidae.
AACACAACCGAUUGUAAAUGACAACAGCACUUUUACCAAUUGGACUUCAGAAGUGAAAGGAAACGCGACUAUUGAAGCCAGCUGUUACUCUGGUUACAAACUGUCUGGUGAAUCAACAAUGACAUGUUUGCCGAACGAAACGUGGUCAGCACCGCCGACAUGCGAUAUUUUACACUGUAAAACACAACCGAUUGUAAAUGACAACAGCACUUUUACCAAUUGGACUUCAGAAGUGAAAGGAAACGCGACUAUUGAAGCCAGCUGUUACUCUGGUUACAAACUGUCUGGUGAAUCAACAAUGACAUGUUUGCCGAACGAAACGUGGUCAGCACCGCCGACAUGCGAUAUUUUACACUGUAAAACACAACCGAUUGUAAAUGACAACAGCACUUUUACCAAUUGGACUUCAGAAGUGAAAGGAAACGCGACUAUUGAAGCCAGCUGUUACUCUGGUUACAAACUGUCUGGUGAAUCAACAAUGACAUGUUUGCCGAACGAAACGUGGUCAGCACCGCCG